GUCCAUCUGGGAGACCUCAAGGGAUAUUGAACAUUGGUGUUGCAUUACUAGAUAGUACCAUGAGAAGUAUGCCAUUGUACACUGAAUUAAACAAGUCAGCGGUUGGAUAUCGCGAUUUAAUGGAAGAAGAUCAUCUCCCUUACCUCCAAAACCAAAAAACAAACGAUGAAAAAACCAUCACGACCACCACCACCAACAAAAAUAUCAGCAGUACCAAUAACAUCGUGACUACUAAAAUAAAACCUAUAUUGCUACGUACAAAGAGCGAACGUAGCGAACGUGUCAAGUUCGAUGAUGAUGUACCAAAGGCAAAUAUUUCAAAAGUUACAAGAUUAACUUCAAAAAGGAAUAAGAAGGCACAUAAUUAUGACAAUGAAAGUUCAAUUCUUAGUAUUUCUUUGGAACCUCCACCACAAAUGUUGGUGAAAAAGAAAGGUAAAGCAAGUUCUGUUGUUAGUGGUGAUGAAUUAAAAGAUAAAUCAAACCCCAAGGGUAAAAAAGGAAAAUCAGGCUCAGUUCUUAGUGAUUCAGUUUUGAGCAAAGAUUCAUCAUCUAUUUAUAAUAAUGGGCCCAAAGAAGAUGAUAAGCCCAAACUCAAACUUAUUGCUUUAAAGCCCACAAAUGAAAAGAAGCCCACAACUAAAGUAGUUGAUGAAAAAUCUCUCACAAAGCCCAAAGUUGGUGAUAGACAAGUUGAUGAGCCCAAAGAGCCCAUAACAGUUAUGGGAAAGCCCAUUACAAACUAUAGUGGAUAUGAGUUUGGAGGCCCAACACCAAAAGGGCAAGGCCAAAAUGGGAAGUUUGUAUUUGGAGGCCCAAUUAAGGGAAAUCCUCAUCAUUGGACUGAUUCCGAAAUUGGGCCUUCGGCAUCUGAGGUCGCGGCGGCUGUCGCUGAAAAGAAAUAUUCAUUGGAUGAUCAAAAAAGCUCGGUAUUGGAUGGUUGGAGUUUGGACGAGAGCGUUGAGGGGCUCAAGUCCAAACUCGAGAGGUGGCGGACAGAGCUGCCACCAGUUUACGACCAUGGGCACGCCUCGAGCAGCUACCACUCGACCGGUCGCCACUCGAGGAGGCUCCCACGUGGGUCGAGUGGAUUGUUUUCUUGUUUUGGUAACAUUUUGGGUUUUGAAUGCCAAUGUGUUUGUGGUAAGCCUCAAAAGAAAUAUAGCACAAGGUUCUAUAGCCCAUCAGUUGGAAGCAAAUCAUUGUAUUGAAAAGCCCAAGCCCAAGCCCAGGUCAUAUUUUUUGAAGGCCCAAGUGGAAUAAGAAUGAAGGCCCAAAGCCCAGGUCAUUAUCAUGUCACUUCUUGCAAUUUAUAUUCGUAAUCAGUGACAUAUUCAGAAUUUUUUAAUCAAUGCAGGUCGAUACUAUCGUACCAUUACUCUUUUGUGACAAACUUCGAAUGUAACAUAAAUAUAUUUGUUCUAUACAUCUCUGUUACUGCCUUUUAUCAUUUUGUUAUUGGUAAAUAUUUGGUUUGAUUUUUGAAUUAGCAUUUUCUUUACAUUAAGUUUCAUGUGGUUUAAUUAUUGUAGCAUGAUUUAUGUUUAGCAUGUUCAUAUAAAGUUCAAUGAUUUUUGGAUUUAGCUGAUUAAGUUAGAGUCAAAAUCUUUUAAUCUUGAUCGUGAAAUGGAUAUGAAAUCUUUAAGUUUUUUGAAAUAAAAAUUUAUAUAUUUAAAAAUUAUAUAAAAAGUAUAAUAAGUCAUAAAUAAUUUAUAUUUUAAAAUAUUUAAAAAGCAUAUGAAAAAGAUCGUGGUAAGAAAAAAUUCGGUUGACUCUCAAAAUUCAAAAGGUAUUUGUUGAAGAAGUCACGAGGUCUAUUAUGGGAUGAUCGCUUUAUAUAUGAUUGAACAAUCAACUCUUAAGCUGGCUUUUGAGAUUAAAUUACACUCAAGAUCAACUUCUUUACAUAAUCAAAAUAGGGUAUAUCUCAAUUUUCGUUCAUGAUGGUAGGCCUCCAUAGUAAAAUUGUUUCACUUCAAAUGUCCGGUCCUGGACAUGAAGGGGGGCAGCAAAGGUGUUGAAGAAGUCCCACAUCAAUUUAUUGUAAAAUGAAAGAUCUAUAUGACUUGUACGAUUAUCACUUCUUGAGCUAACUUUUGAAAUGUGUUAAGACUCAAACUCUAGUUCUUACAUAAUAUUAGGGCAUUCCAAUCUUCAUUCACAAUGUCAGGCUUGCAUAUUAAAAUUGUUUACGCUUUAAAUGUUCAAUUUUGAACGUGAUUGUAAACAUCAAAAUUUUGUACACUCUAAAAAAGAAUCAAAUUUCUGUUAGAGUUCUUGAAGGAUAUUUGACCCUAAGCCUAGCUUAGAGAAGCUACUCUAGGUGAAUCUUAAAUUAUGCUUAUAAAAGGGUGGCUUAAUCCAGUGAAGUAAUAUCUCAGAAAUUUCACAAACUCAUGGAAUAUCAAAUAAAGAUUAAAAUCUUCUCUUUUUUAUAAUCAAAUACAUCAAGAAGAUCCACAAAGUUCAAGUACUUUUUUCACGGAUAAAAUGCAUACCAAAUCCAAAUCGUCUUAAGUUAUCCAAAUCUUCCAACUUCGAGAAAUAUGCUACUAUUAUCCCUCGAAUUAUCGAGAAAUCAAGCGCUCCUUUCAUGGAGAUCAAAUUCAAAUCUUACUAUACAUUUGAGAAAUAUGCAAAUAACGCCCCUCGAAUUACGAAAAAAGUUAAGAGAGAAGAAUCAAGAAAACAAACAAACUUACCUACAUUGUUUAUUAAUUAAAAUGUUCUCGUUUUCUUCAUAUUUUUAUUUGUGGUUAAAGUUUAUUUUUCAUAAAUUAAAAAUUUAUAGUAAACAGAUUGACACGCCCAGUGGGAUCAAAUUUGUCCUUCAUCCCUUCACUCAUAAAUCAGAUCAGCAUAUCUAUAGCUGCAUGCUCGUAAAUAUGGAGGCUCUAUGGGUACGUUAAGACUCGUCUUUAAAUUUCAUCAAGUCUACAUUCCGACAAGCUUUGAAGUGGGGGCAUUAGUAGACAUCAAAAUUUUGUAAACUCAAAAAAAAGAAUUUAAUAUCUUUAGAAUUUUUGGAUGCUAUUUUAUCCUAAGCCUAGCUUGGGGGCUACUCUACAUGAACCGUAAAUUAUGCCUAUAUAAACGAUACUUACUUCAAAGAAGAAAUAUCUCAGAAAUUUCACAAACUCAUGAAAUAUCAACUGGAGAUCAAAAUUCACUCUUCUUGAUAAUCAAAUCUAUCAAGAAGAUCCAUAAAAUUCAAAUACUCAUUGCACGGAGAAAAUACAUACCAAAUCCAAAUCGUUCUAAGUUAUCCACAUCUUCUUACUUCAAGAAAUAUGCUAUUAACAAUCAUCGAAUUACGGAUAAAUCAAACCCUCCUUCCAUAGAGAUCAAAUUCAAAUCUUCCUAUACGUACGAGAAAUACACAACUAAUUACCCUUGAAUUACGAAAAGAAUCAACAAAACAAAUAAAAUCAUACCCACAUGAUUUAUUAGAGUUGUCAAUAUGGGUCGGCCCAAUCCAUCCAAACUAGUCCACACGGGCUUUGGAGUUUGACGGACCAGGUUGGGCUGAGCCAUGAACAUGACAGGCCAGAAAAUAGUAAGUCCAGCCCAUCACACUGUGGGUUGUAGUCCUCCACGGGCCAACCCACUUUUUAAAAUAUAUUAUUUUUAUAAUCUUAAUUUAAAUUUUAAUAUUACAUCAAGUUACUACUUGUUAAUCAAGUCUCAAAUUUACAAGAAAAAAAUUAAUAAUCUGUGAAAUUAAAUAACUUUUGACACCAAAUUCAAAACAAAUAGAGAUGUUGAAAAACAAACGAAACUGUUAAUGAGUAAUAAUAUAACUAGCUAAAUAACAAUAUUAGCCUAAUUUUAUUUUAAUUGAUCACAAUAAAACAUAAAGAAAUGUCAAUAUUUAGUCCAUAAUGAACUCCUAAAAAAAACUCACAAGACACCUAUAGCGUGUUCAACAUCGCCACAUCAUCUUCAUCAAACAUAUUUAAUUCCUUAAAAAUUUUGUAUUUUAUAUUUUAAUUAUUUAUAUAUUUUAUAAAUAUAUUUUAUAUUUAAAGAUCUCUAAUGAUUCAAAUAGACUUUGAGUAUGGACUCUUUCCUUUUUCUUUUAAGCUCUUAGUACUCUAUUCUAUUUUUUUAAUUAUUUUUUAUUGUAUAAAUAACAUAAAUAUCAACUUUUUAGAAGAAAUUACACUCUCUACUACUUUUUAAAUUAUUUUACUCUCUCUCCCGAUUAAUAUACAUCAGAAAGCCGACAUAUACAUAGCAGUCUGUGUAUACGUGAAUUUUUUACUAUCGUUAAAAAAGGAAAUAACUGAGUCCCCUCCUUUAAGGACGUAAUUAAUGGAACCAAUUUAUUUAGUGGAUUACUCCAUCCCUUUAAUUAUGCAACAACUAUUGAAAUUUAAAUUUGAAUUCUACAAAUACAUUAAAAACAAAUCAGAUGAAAAAACACAAAACAAAAAUAAAUCAAGCACCUAUUUGUCGAUCGUUUUGAAGAAAAAAAAUUAAUUGGAAUUCAAGAAGAUGAAUAGUGCUAUUUAUUUGAGGUACUCUGAUCAAUAAAGAAUCGGAAAUAGAAAGAGGUAUUUUUUUUUUGCUAUUCUUUUAGGUAUUGUUGUCACAGGAUCGAUGAUUUUUUUAGGUUUAUUUCAUCAAUUUUUUCAGAUAAAAAAAUAUUAUUUUUAAUGGAAAAGAUUUUUUCAGGCAAAAAAAGGUAUUAUUUUCAAUUUUGUUACGAAAAUUAUUACUUAAAUUAGCGUGAAAGAGUUUUGUUAACAAUACAUAUAUAAAUUUAAUAAGAGGUGCAUGUGUGAGGGAGAAAAUUCAAGUAAAUGUAUCUUUUAAGUCUUGAACGAAGGAUUGAGGACAUUGACCAACUUAAAAGGCCAAACAUCAUUAGGAAACCUGACUAAGUUAAUUGUGGACUUGAUUAAUAUUUUCAAAACUUUCUAAUCUUUUCAAAAAUACAAAUCAAACCAACCCUCACCCCUUUUCAAUCUAAAUCAACCACUCUCCCUCCUCUCUCUCUCUCUCCAACUUCUCUUAACUCUCUCCCAAACCAACAGUUCUACAAAAUUCUUCCUUCAAUCUCCGGCGACUUCAACCUCCGGCGAUAAAUAGUCGAGCGAGUUUUCUUUUGACUUUACCGUCAAUCAACGUGAAGACUUCUCUGACGGCAACAAAUUUGAGUUCUUCAUUGUCACAUUUCCUUUUUUAUAGGUAGAAAAUUAUGAAGAAACAGAGGAAUUUGAGCGAACUACUCUUUUAGUAUUGAAAUGUGGAUUGAAUAAAAUAAUAAUUUGUUGUCGAACUGUUGAUUCGGAUUUGUUGGUGAUUUUUUGUCACAGUUGAUGUUCUUAGUGUGUGUGUGUGAUGUGUUGGUGUUGCUGGGUUAAUUUAUUAUUAGUAUUGAUAAAAAUAGUGUUGUAAUAGAUGAAACAUCUGAUGCAAUAGAUGAAAUAUUUGAUGCAACAGAUGGAAACAUCUAAUGCAAUAGAUGAAAAUCUGAUGCAACUAUAAAAAUUUGAUGCAACAGAUGAAUAAUAUAACAGAUCAUUCAUUUGUUAUGACAGACGACUCUUCUGUUUGGAAGAAAUCUAAACAAUAUUUCUUCAAUAGAUAGCUCAUUUUGCAACAGAUGAGUGAUAUAUUUCAACAUAUUAGUGAGCUAUUUUAUUAUUUCCAAUGAAUUACUCAUCUGUUGCAAUAGGUUGGUUAUAUGUUGCAACAGAUAACCUUCCUGGUGCAAUAUAUGAGUGAUCUAUUUUACUGUUUCCAACUGAUUACGCAUCCGUUGCAACAGGUUGGUUAUAUGCUUCAACAGAUAACCUUCCUAGGGCAACAAAUGAGUGAUCAGUUUUAUUAUUUCUAAUGAAAUGCUCAUCCAUUGCAACAGGUUAGUUAUAUAUUGCAACAAAUAAAAUUUUUGGUGCAACAGAUGAGUGAUCUAUUUUAUUAUUUCUAACGGAUUACUCAUCUGUUUCAACAGGUUGGUUAUAUGUUGCAACAGAUAACCUUCCUGAUGCUAUAGAUAAGUAAUCUAUUUUAUUAUUUCCAACAGAUUACUCAUCCGUUGCAAUAGGUUGGUUAUAUGUUGCAACAGCUAACCUUCCUGGUAUAAUAGAUGAGUGAUCUGUUUUUAUUAUUUCCAAUGAAUUACUCAUCUACUGCAACAGGUUGGUUAUAUGUUGCAACAAAUAGCCUUCUUGAUGCAAUAAAAAAGUGAUCUAUUUUUAUUAUUUCCAACGGAUUACUCNNNNNNNNNNNNNNNNNNNNNNNNNNNNNNNNNNNNNNNNNNNNNNNNNNNNNNNNNNNNNNNNNNNNNNNNNNNNNNNNNNNNNNNNNNNNNNNNNNNNNNNNNNNNNNNNNNNNNNNNNNNNNNNNNNNNNNNNNNNNNNNNNNNNNNNNNNNNNNNNNNNNNNNNNNNNNNNNNNNNNNNNNNNNNNNNNNNNNNNNNNNNNNNNNNNNNNNNNNNNNNNNNNNNNNNNNNNNNNNNNNNNNNNNNNNNNNNNNNNNNNNNNNNNNAAAAAAAAAAAAAUGUAUUUGUUUCUCUUUUUCCAAAAUGUGGUCGAUGUCAACAAACUUUUUUCUUUUUGUUUCGAUAUAUUAGGUUUUAUAUAAUUGUUCAUAAGUUUUAUAUAUAAUCAUGUUUACUUUCAUGUACCAAUAGAUAACUUCACCAUCCUCCUAGACAAAUGAAAGAUUUUCACAAAUUUGCUUAGAAUAUGUUGUCUGGUUGAGUUUUCAAAGAUUUCAUUGAUUAAUUGGUGAAUAUUGUGAUGGAUUUAAUUAAUCAUAACCUAAUUAAAUGAUAUUCGAAAUAUUUUCUUUCAUUGAAAUUUAUGUAUUUAUACAUUUAAAACUUUGGUGUAUUUUUGGAUAUUAGGUACGUCGUCCAUCUGGGAGACCUCAAGGGAUAUUGAACAUUGGUGUUGCAUUACUAGAUAGUACCAUGAGAAGUAUGCCAUUGUACACUGAAUUAAACAAGUCAGCGGUUGGAUAUCGCGAUUUAAUGGAAGAAGAUCAUCUCCCUUACCUCCAAAACCAAAAAACAAACGAUGAAAAAACCAUCACGACCACCACCACCAACAAAAAUAUCAGCAGUACCAAUAACAUCGUGACUACUAAAAUAAAACCUAUAUUGCUACGUACAAAGAGCGAACGUAGCGAACGUGUCAAGUUCGAUGAUGAUGUACCAAAGGCAAAUAUUUCAAAAGUUACAAGAUUAACUUCAAAAAGGAAUAAGAAGGCACAUAAUUAUGACAAUGAAAGUUCAAUUCUUA
RNAcentral lists this long non-coding RNA (7256 nucleotides) under Capsicum annuum. RNAcentral's name for it is "long non-coding RNA (CANN_LNC005907)". Lineage: Eukaryota; Viridiplantae; Streptophyta; Magnoliopsida; Solanales; Solanaceae. The record is from RNAcentral.